CCAGCUAUGGAUAGGAUAUAUUAAGGAUACCCAAUACUACUCUUCCCUUUCAAAACUGUUUCUUGCUCGCCUUCCCGAAGCUUGUCGAUUGUUACACGCAUGGUGAGCUAGGGACAUAUAGGAACGGCCAUAUCUUCUGAUCUUUGCUUGCUUGCAACAAAAGCGGACAGAAUAUAUUAUGCCUCCAGCUUACUACGAAACCCAGGAAGACUUGCAAUUCUGUCGGAAUUCUGCACGGGGAAUGAGCUACCCAGUUUCCCAGCCACUGCGAGGAGAUGCUCAACAACCCGCGGGUGGAUAUAGUAAUCGAAUAUGCACGACAACAG
RNAcentral lists this small RNA (326 nucleotides) under Histoplasma ohiense. Its description in RNAcentral is "hypothetical lncRNA". The record is from RNAcentral. Lineage: Eukaryota; Fungi; Ascomycota; Eurotiomycetes; Onygenales; Ajellomycetaceae.